This 301-nucleotide ribosomal RNA is filed under the name uncultured bacterium. RNAcentral's name for it is "partial 16S ribosomal RNA". It matches the Rfam family "Bacterial small subunit ribosomal RNA", at positions 509 to 807 of the family's 1533-position model. The record is from RNAcentral.
CAGCCGCCGCGGGAAUACGAAGGGGGCUAGCGUUGUUCGGAUUUACUGGGCGUAAAGCGCACGUAGGCGGAUCGAUCAGUCAGGGGUGAAAUCCUGGAGCUCAACUCCAGAACUGCCUUUGAUACUGUCGAUCUCGAGUCCGGAAGAGGUGAGUGGAACUCCUAGUGUAGAGGUGGAAUUCGUAGAUAUUAGGAAGAACACCAGUGGCGAAGGCGGCUCACUGGUCCGGUACUGACGCUGAGGUGCGAAAGCGUGGGGAGCAAACAGGAUUAGAGACCCCCGUAGUCCCUGUCUCUUAUAC